AUUGAACGCUGGCGGCAGGCCUAACACAUGCAAGUCGAGCGGAUGAAGGGAGCUUGCUCCUGGAUUCAGCGGCGGACGGGUGAGUAAUGCCUAGGAAUCUGCCUGGUAGUGGGGGAUAACGUCCGGAAACGGGCGCUAAUCCCGCAUCCGUCCUGAGGUCGAAAGUGGGGGAUCUUCGGACCUCUCGCUUUCAUAUGAGCAUAGGUCGGAUUCGCUAGUUGGUGGGGUAAAGGCCUACCAAGGCGACGAUCCGUAACUGGUCUGAGAGGAUGAUCAGUCACACUGGAACUGAGACAGGGUCCAGACUCCGACGGGAGGCAGCAGUGGGGAAUAUUGCGCGAUGGGGGAAAGCCUGAUCCAGCCAUGCCGCGUGUGUGAAGAAGGUCUUCGGAUUGGAGAGCGCUGUAAGUUGGGAGGAAGGGAAGUAAGUUAAUACCUGGCUGUUUUGACGUUACCAACAGAAUAAGCACCGGCUAACUUCGUG
This 484-nucleotide ribosomal RNA is filed under the name uncultured bacterium. RNAcentral's name for it is "partial 16S ribosomal RNA". It matches the Rfam family "Bacterial small subunit ribosomal RNA", at positions 30 to 507 of the family's 1533-position model. The record is from RNAcentral.